This 478-nucleotide ribosomal RNA is filed under the name uncultured bacterium. RNAcentral describes it as "partial 16S ribosomal RNA". It matches the Rfam family "Bacterial small subunit ribosomal RNA", at positions 28 to 523 of the family's 1533-position model. The record is from RNAcentral.
GACGAACGCUGGCGGCGUGCUUAACACAUGCAAGUCGAACGGUAAGGCCCUUCGGGGUACACGAGUGGCGAACGGGUGAGUAACACGUGGGUGAUCUGCCCUGCACUUCGGGAUAAGCCUGGGAAACUGGGUCUAAUACCGGAUAGGACCACUGCCUGCAUGGGUGGUGGUGGAAAGCUUUUGCGGUGUGGGAUGGGCCCGCGGCCUAUCAGCUUGUUGGUGGGGUGAUGGCCUACCAAGGCGAGGACGGGUAGCCGGCCUGAGAGGGUGACCGGCCCAGAGGGGGCGAGGGGAAGGACAAGACUCCUUCGGGAGGCAGCGGUGGGGAAUCUUGCGGAUUGGGCGCAAGCCUGAUGCAGCGACGCCGCGUGAGGGAGGACGGCCUUCGGGUUGUAAACCUCUUUCAGCACCGACGAAGCGCAAGUGACGGUAGGUGCAGAAGAAGGACCGGCCAACUAUGUGCCAGCCGCCGCGGUAA